CCUACGGGAGGCUGCAGUGGGGAAUAUUGGACAAUGGGGGCAACCCUGAUCCAGCCAUGCCGCGUGUGUGAAGAAGGCCCUCGGGUUGUAAAGCACUUUCAGUGAGGAAGAACUCCUGGGGGUGAAAACCUAUCAGGAUAGACAUCACCCACAGAAGAAGCACCGGCUAACUCCGUGCCAGCAGCCGCGGUAAUACGGAGGGUGCGAGCGUUAAUCGGAAUUACUGGGCGUAAAGCGCGCGUAGGUGGCUUGAUAAGCCGGUUGUGAAAGCCCCGGGCUCAACCUGGGAACGGCAUCCGGAACUGUCAAGCUAGAGUGCAGGAGAGGAAGGUAGAAUUCCCGGUGUAGCGGUGAAAUGCGUAGAGAUCGGGAGGAAUACCAGUGGCGAAGGCGGCCUUCUGGACUGACACUGACACUGAGGUGCGAAAGCGUGGGUAGCAAACAGGAUUAGAUACCCUUGUAGUC
Molecule: ribosomal RNA, 465 nt
Filed under: Vreelandella stevensii
Lineage: Bacteria; Pseudomonadati; Pseudomonadota; Gammaproteobacteria; Oceanospirillales; Halomonadaceae
Description: partial 16S ribosomal RNA
Rfam family: Bacterial small subunit ribosomal RNA
Source: RNAcentral